ACUGGCAGAGCCAUGUGUUCUGAUAUGUAAUCAGAAAUUACAUAUUCUGAUUGUCCAAGUCAUGGAAAUGGGGAUGAAGGAAGGGCAGGGGAUUUAAUAUUUUCCUAGAUGGGGCAGAGUACCUCCCCUUUCUUGCCUGGCAGAUGAGUUUGACCAUUUUGUUUUUUACUGCCGGACCACAGUGUUACCGAUAAUCACAGUGUAAACAACAUCCUUUUAGUGCAGCUUUUGUCUCUUUUCUGUAGGAUGGAAAGUCUGGUGAAAUCAGCCUGUCAUGCCAGGCACUGAAGAAAAUACGUGUUGAAAAAAGUGCCUGUUCCCAGGCUUUCAGACUAAAUAACACCAGACCAAAGGUGAAGAGGAAGCAGAAGCCUGGACAAGGGAUUUGAUGGAUUUCCUGCAGCAAGUCCAUGCCCAGGGUGGAACUGAGUCCAAACAUCUCACACCUGGCUUGUAACAACCAGGGUGAAGCUGUUCCCCAGCCUGCCUUGCACUGAUCAGGUUAUGAUUUUCCUGCCUAUUGCUAUCACAUAAAAUCAGGAAUGCUGCAAAAAUUGUCCAAAAGAACAGGAAUCAAAUUGGAUUGACAUAUUUCUUGGACACCACAAUCCAGUGGGAAAGCUAAAAGAAAACCUAAGAAAGCAAAUGAGCCAAAUCUUCCAAAACCCUCAGAUGGCCACAUUCCCUGGCAUUGCUGAGGACUUCAGCCAAGCUCCAAGAAAGAGGUGAGCCCAUAUGGAA
RNAcentral lists this long non-coding RNA (741 nucleotides) under Cyanistes caeruleus (blue tit). RNAcentral's name for it is "lncRNA (ENSCCEG00000000566.1)". The record is from RNAcentral. Lineage: Eukaryota; Metazoa; Chordata; Aves; Passeriformes; Paridae.